GGCGUUUGCACGCAGGCGCAAGGAAAGAACGACGCAUGACGACGCCCUCGCCGCUUACAAAUAUGGCCGCGCUAUCAAAUGUCGUACAGGCCGCAAAACUACUAUCAUUUGCAAGAGAAGCGGCGCAUUCCCAAAAACGAUUUUUCUGGCAGUGGCUGAAUGCUGUAUUCAACAGAUAUGACCGAGACCGUAUCAAGGAGAUCGGGCCGGAUAGAGCGGCAGCAGAGUGGCUCAUACGAUGCGGAGCUGCUGUCAGGUGGAGCGGAGCUAUUAAGUUUCACUCCGACUACAACACACUGCCGUCCACGAGCUCAAACGCUUACAAGAUAGAAGAAAUUGAUGCGACUGACUCGUCAAUUAUGGAGAUAGGCUUUCCUUACUUGAAAGAGCUGACUCUUCUGAAAUCAAUCAACUUGACGCGCUGCAACUUUCUCGGGGAUAAGGCAUUGCAGAUGUUGCAACUUCGCAAGGAUAGUCUAGAAAAAGUGAACGUUAUCAGCUGCGGAAACGUGACAGACGCUGGAGUCAAGUCGCUGGCAGAGCUCACGGUAAUGCAGCCCACGUAUGGGGAGAGGUGUUUCGGUCUGCUAAAGAAGUUCCUGGCACAACAAUUCACGUGCAACGGUGAAACCAAGACAUCAGUGUGACAGCAGUUCCCCACAGUCAGCCGGACGAAUUCUACCACAGGGGCAUCUCAAUUUAAGUGCUGCAAUGGGACAUAUGUCUGAACCAGUGUGAGCACUGUGUGGAAAAGUAGUGUAAGGAAGUUGCGUUAUCUAGAGCUCUUCGACCUACCUGGAGUUCGGGACCGUGAAGCGGUUCUCGAACACUUCAACCAGCUGCUUCCGACCUGCAAGGUUGACUUCCCCGACGUGAACGAAACCACAAAACCAAAAAAGUGAUCACGUGGAUGCACCAUGCAGUUCAUCCCGUUUCCGAAACGAUUCUACUGUAGAUACUUGUAAUGAGUUUAUUCACAUAUUUACAACGGCAAAUAAAUGUCACUCAAGUCAUUGCAA
Molecule: non-coding RNA, 1019 nt
Organism: Dermacentor andersoni
Lineage: Eukaryota; Metazoa; Arthropoda; Arachnida; Ixodida; Ixodidae
Source: RefSeq, a predicted model, not a curated record